CACCGCCACCAUGGCCUAAUUCUCUGCGGGUGAACACUCGCCUGACCUGUACAAAAAAUCUCACCUCCAGGACAACUAAGAUAUUGAAUUGAGUAGUCCAGUGGCUUCCAGCCACAAGGGGUCAUGAGAUUCAUCUGAGGGGUCACAAGAUGAUUACUGAGUUCAACCAACAAGUUUCCACUGCCACCUUCAAAAGUGUCUGUCCUUAAGGCUGAGGUAGUAGAUUGAAUAGUUGUGGGGUUUGUGUCCUCCCUAUGAGAUAACUAUACAAUCUACUGUCUUUCCUAAGGAGACAGGUUGAUCUGCUGUGAAGAUGAAGCCUGUAUGCACAUGGAAAGCUCCGUGGAUAGAAGGAACUCAGAUACAUGGACUAAAGUAGAUUUAAGAGAUAACCUGUCACUCAUCUCUCCAAGAGAAGAAUGCAGAUACAACAAAGAUGUCAUUUAUUUACCAGAUACAAUAAUAGAUCUGGUCUAUUCUCACAACAUGUAUUAAAGUUGGUACAUAUUGGGUAAAGUCUUGUUUUAAAAGAUAUUUAUUGGUGCCUGAAGUUGAGCCUAGCAAGGUGAGGUAGUAGGUUGUAUAGUUUGUGGGAUGGAGUAAAUCCUACUCAGGUGAUAACUAUACAGUCUAUUACCUUCCUUGAGAGGUACAAUGAGUGCUUGGGAUGAAGCUCACUUACACUGACCGGAGCCACUCUGACACCAUCUUGUGGCCAAAGACUAUCAACACUCUGGAAAUUGAAAUUGAAAAAAAGCUUUGGGAGCUCUAUUGCGUGCAUCAAAAAACAUCCACGUUUAAGUAACCACUAGCUGGCAGAGUUAGGAGAAACUCCAAUAAAUAUGGGGUGUGUCAAUCCUAAAGUCAGAACUCCUAAGUUUUGUACUCAGAGAAGUUGGAGGCAGUCCAAAUGAUUCCUAAGUAACUAAGACCUCCUCACAGUCAGUAAUGUGCUGAAGGUAAUGCUUCUCAUUGCAUCAGUGACUUGUAAAAACAAAAGCCACUUAAUGCGGAUUCAAUGAGAUCACCAACAAAGCAGAGCAAUCCAAUAACAUUGGAGAUGACGGUGCACAGCUCUAUGGUACUUGGACACCUUGAUAAACUCAGCCUCAGCCUUGAGACAGAACAAUUCAUCAGUCUGUCAGUUCUGCAACUGCAAUAAAUACACAAAUGAAAGUAAUAUCAUUGCCAUGGCUAGAUUACCCAGUAAAAUCUGUGCUACUCCUACCCAACAACAAUGAAGAAUGACAAUUUGUUUUGUCAGUUGACAUGCUGAUUUUUGAUGCAAGAUACAACAUACUUAACUAGUCAGUAUUGUACUUUGUUUCAUGUAUGACAUUUGUGGCACAGUUGGGAAAACAUCUGAAUUAUCUUUUUAUUAAAUGUAUCCACUUAUGUGCUACAUCUAUCAAUUUAUUUACUAUUGCCAACACACUAUUGUAUUUCCAGCAUGUCUUAUCAGUUUAUAACUUAAAUUAUUGCUCAUUUUAAACAGUCUGAUUUUAUUUUACUCUCUCGUUGCAGAUGGUAAUUGGCUGAAACAUUUUAAUCCUGAUUAUAUCAUGUUAUAUCAUUAUAUUGUAUCAAGUCACGUGACACUUUGUUUCUGAAAAGUGCUGUAUUAAUAAAGU
Long non-coding RNA from Epinephelus fuscoguttatus (brown-marbled grouper), 1631 nucleotides. RefSeq lists it as uncharacterized. The record is from RefSeq and is a predicted model, not a curated record. The transcript is spliced from 3 exons. Lineage: Eukaryota; Metazoa; Chordata; Actinopteri; Perciformes; Serranidae.